AUGGAUGCAGGUAGUAAUACGCUGUAUACCUAUGAAACUGAAUUAACGUUUAAGCGAUAUAUUGAUGUCGUCAGACAUAGGGCCGCCAUUGGGCGGUUUUUUUGUUUU
This 108-nucleotide small RNA is filed under the name Clostridium saudiense. RNAcentral describes it as "DUF3800-I RNA". It matches the Rfam family "DUF3800-I RNA". Rfam says of the family: Actinobacteria, Firmicutes, Fusobacteria, Proteobacteria (1 example), Tenericutes (2 examples). Terminator (Clostridia) Lineage: Bacteria; Bacillati; Bacillota; Clostridia; Eubacteriales; Clostridiaceae. The record is from RNAcentral.